This 342-nucleotide long non-coding RNA is filed under the name Manduca sexta (tobacco hornworm). RNAcentral describes it as "uncharacterized LOC119191546, transcript variant X2". Lineage: Eukaryota; Metazoa; Arthropoda; Insecta; Lepidoptera; Sphingidae. The record is from RNAcentral.
AGUUCAAAUCAAAUAUAAUCAAUGGCAGAUAUUAUCUGUCAGACUCAGCUGUUAAAGAACUGAUUAUAAUACAUUUUAUAAUAUAUGUCUGAAACCAAUAUCCUGUAAAAUAGUUAACAAGAUAAAUUAUAUGAAAUAUGGACACCCAAAAAUUUCACUUCAGAUGUAGUGGGUAACAAACAAUUAUUAUAUUGCACAGCAGGUGUACUGUGACAAUGUUUACCAAAUACAAUAACUUUAGACUUGGAUGGAUUCACACUGAGAUCAAGGAAUCCCUAUUUGUAAUAACUCAAGGCAUAGAAUAUCUAUGUUUACACUAUUAAAAGCACCUGCGAUGUCAAA